AUACGUAGGGUGCGAGCGUUGUCCGGAAUUACUGGGCGUAAAGAGCUCGUAGGUGGUUUGUCGCGUCGUCUGUGAAAUUCCGGGGCUUAACUCCGGGCGUGCAGGCGAUACGGGCAUAACUUGAGUACUGUAGGGGAGACUGGAAUUCCUGGUGUAGCGGUGAAAUGCGCAGAUAUCAGGAGGAACACCGGUGGCGAAGGGGGGUCUCUGGGCAGUAACUGACGCUGAGGAGCGAAAGCAUGGGUAGCGAACAGGAUUAGAUACCCUGGUAGUCCAUGCCGUAAACGGUGGGCGCUAGGUGUAGGGGUCUUCCACGACUUCUGUGCCGUAGCUAACGCAUUAAGCGCCCCGCCUGGGGAGUACGGCCGCAAGGCUAAAACUCAAAGGAAUUGACGG
This 396-nucleotide ribosomal RNA is filed under the name uncultured bacterium. Its description in RNAcentral is "partial 16S ribosomal RNA". It matches the Rfam family "Bacterial small subunit ribosomal RNA", at positions 523 to 916 of the family's 1533-position model. The record is from RNAcentral.